CAUGUCUAGUAUAGCACUUGUACUGUGAACUGCGAAUGGCUCAUUAAAUCAGUUAUCGUUUAUUUGAUAGUACCUUACUACAUGGAUACCUGUGGUAAUUCUAGAGCUAAUACAUGCUAAAAACCCCGACUUCAGGAAGGGGUGUAUUUAUUAGAUAAAAAACCAACGCCCUUCGGGGCUCCUUGGUGAAUCAUAAUAACUUAACGAAUCGCAUGGCCUUGCGCCGGCGAUGGUUCAUUCAAAUUUCUGCCCUAUCAACUUUCGAUGGUAGGAUAGUGGCCUACCAUGGUGGCAACGGGUAACGGGGAAUUAGGGUUCGAUUCCGGAGAGGGAGCCUGAGAAACGGCUACCACAUCCAAGGAAGGCAGCAGGCGCGCAAAUUACCCAAUCCCGAUACGGGGAGGUAGUGACAAUAAAUACUGAUACGGGGCUCUUUUGGGUCUCGUAAUUGGAAUGAGAACAAUUUAAAUCCCUUAACGAGGAACAAUUGGAGGGCAAGUCUGGUGCCAGCAGCCGCGGUAAUUCCAGCUCCAAUAGCGUAUAUUAAAGUUGUUGCAGUUAAAAAGCUCGUAGUUGAACCUUGGGUCUGGCUGGUCGGUCCGCCUCACCGCGAGUACUGAUCCGGCUGGACCUUUUCCUUCUGGGGAACCUCAUGCCCUUCACUGGCUGUGGGGGGGAACCAGGACUUUUUACUGUGAAAAAAAUUAAAAGUGUUCCAAAGCAAGGCCUUUUGCUCCGAAUAACAUUAAGCAUGGGAAUAAAUAAGAAUAAGGAACGUGGCGGGUUCUAUUUUUGGUUGGGUUUCCAAGGAACCGCCCGUAAUUGAUUAAAAAAGGGAAAAGUCCGGGGGGGCGUCCAGUAUUUCCAGCUUGUCCAAAAGGUGAAAAUUUC
RNAcentral lists this ribosomal RNA (891 nucleotides) under Penicillium sp. RNAcentral describes it as "SSU rRNA". It matches the Rfam family "Eukaryotic small subunit ribosomal RNA", at positions 54 to 921 of the family's 1831-position model. The record is from RNAcentral. Lineage: Eukaryota; Fungi; Ascomycota; Eurotiomycetes; Eurotiales; Aspergillaceae.